This 236-nucleotide unclassified non-coding RNA is filed under the name Hevea brasiliensis (rubber tree). The record is from RNAcentral. Lineage: Eukaryota; Viridiplantae; Streptophyta; Magnoliopsida; Malpighiales; Euphorbiaceae.
GAGUUGUCAUAGAGUUAUUAGUAUGUUAUCUCAACCUCAUGAUGAGAAAAUUUUAGCAAGAGAGACUGGAGAGGCUGUUCACAAGUUUAAGAAAGUGGUGACUCUCUUAAAUUCUAAUUUGGGUCAUGCAAGAGUAAGAAAAACCAAGAAAAUUCUGACCCCUUUUCCCCAUAGCCUCUUGUUAGAGAAUUCAAGUUGUAAAAUUGUUGAUGAUCAGCUUAAACCCUUACAACUGC